Long non-coding RNA from Dermochelys coriacea (leatherback sea turtle), 1792 nucleotides. RefSeq lists it as uncharacterized. The transcript is spliced from 2 exons. Lineage: Eukaryota; Metazoa; Chordata; Testudines; Dermochelyidae. The record is from RefSeq and is a predicted model, not a curated record.
CACGAACCGGUUGUUAGAUUUUUGAAGCAGGUUUAGGACCGGUUGUUAAGCCGCUUCCCUCAGGGGGCGCUGAGGCUUUGAUGGGCUCUGGCCGGGAAGUGAAGUAAUUCCUCCUCCGGCCGCCGGGGGCGCUGUGCUGCGGGAGCCAUGUGGGCUGCAGCAUGCCCUGGGGACAAGCCCUGUUGCAGCUGCUGCUCCCCUGGCCCUGGGGCUCCCGAUGCUGCCUAGUGGGUCCCCGGAUGCUCCGCUGGGCCUGGGCUGUGUCCUGCUGCUCUCCCCCUUGCCACUACAUCUGGCUGAGCCAUUUUGUCUCUGCAUGCUCCCUUCAGCUGGAGCCAUCAACAUGGAUCCCAACCUGGUGGAAGAACUUCUUUACCUUUCACUGUCAGUUGUAUUUUGGGAAUAAGACAGAACAUCUGCGAGAUGCUGGUGGGCAUUUUGGCAGCAGUUUUUGAACUGCCAAAGGCAUCUUGGAGGAUACUGACAUGCCAGCUAUGACCCAGCUGAUGUUGUUCAUGCCUGUUGCCUUAGCUGCAGAUUCCCCCUAUACAGGCUGGUGCUUCUGGAUCCUACAAGCACAGACUAGUGGGAUCACAUUGUCAUGCAGACCUGGGAUGACUAGUAGUGGGUCCAGAACUUUUACAUGAAGAAGGAGGCAUUCCUGAAAGUUUGUGAUCAGCUUUCCCCCAACACCACCAUAAGGGAGGCCUUUCCAGUUGGAAGUGAGUCACUAUAGCCAUCUAUAAACUGGCUACCGCAGACUGCUACAGAUCCAUGACUAACCAGGUUGGAGUCGGCAAAUCAACUCUUGGGACUGUUAUGGCAGAAAUUUGUGAGGCAAUCAGGAUUGUGAGGUAGCUAAAGGUGGUGGGUACAUGUACCCAAGUGUUCCUGAAAUAAUUGCUGUGUUUGGGAGAAUGGACUUUCCAAACAGUGCCAGGGUCAUUGAUGGGACCCAUGUGUUUAUAGUUUGCCCUCUGCAAGGAGCACGCGAGUACAUAAACCACAAAAACCGCAAAAGGUUCUACUCCUUUGUUAUGUAGGUCACUGUUGACCACAGGGGCAGAUUCAUGGAAGCUAAUGUGGGAUGCACUGGGACCCCACCUUCAUGGACAAGCUGGAACAUUAUUCCUACUGAAUGACAUUGUUCUUCUAAGGGACCCCGCUUAAUCCCAGUUCCCCUGAUUUCAGAGGAUCUGGUAAAAGGAGAUUUGACUACACAUUCAGUAACAGUAGGAUAGUGGUGGAAUGUGCAUUUGACAGACUGAAGUCCCAUUGGUACUGUCUUCAAAACUGUGUUAUCAAUACAGAAAGACCUUUCUGUUGGGAGAAUAUUUUUUUAAAAAGUAACUCAUCAAUGCAGUCUGCAUUAUUGUGGCCUGCUGUGUUCUGCACAAUGUCUGCUGGAUUGGUACACACAGCCAGAAAGUGCACCUGACAUGACUGGUACUGGAUCUACAUGCACAAUGGAAAUCAGGCAUGCUUUGUGUCCCCACCUAAUGAGUUUGCAUGGUUCCAUGCAGGAGGGCGAAUGAAAUGGUAUUUGAGGUUGUGCUGUGUAUGGAUGUGGGGCAGUUGUGGGAUUAAAAAAAAAAGUAUUGGUAUUAUGGAUUAUGAAUUUUGUAAACACACUUUAUUAAUAGUGGCCAUGUAAUUCAACUCCCAGUUUAUAGAUUAUUGUGGAGGAGCGUUUGUAAGUUUUUAUUAUGAAAUUUUUGAGAAUGGGCAUGUGAUGACAUUCAUUACAGCUUGUGCCACUUUUAACAUUACAUAUAAUAAAACUUGCUAUGUA